RNAcentral lists this ribosomal RNA (497 nucleotides) under uncultured bacterium. RNAcentral describes it as "partial 16S ribosomal RNA". It matches the Rfam family "Bacterial small subunit ribosomal RNA", at positions 28 to 507 of the family's 1533-position model. The record is from RNAcentral.
GAUGAACGCUGGCGGCGUGCCUAAUACAUGCAAGUCGAGCGAACAGACGAGGAGCUUGCUCCUCUGACGUUAGCGGCGGACGGGUGAGUAACACGUGGAUAACCUACCUAUAAGACUGGGAUAACUUCGGGAAACCGGAGCUAAUACCGGAUAAUAUAUUGAACCGCAUGGUUCAAUAGUGAAAGACGGUUUUGCUGUCACUUAUAGAUGGAUCCGCGCCGCAUUAGCUAGUUGGUAAGGUAACGGCUUACCAAGGCAACGAUGCGUAGCCGACCUGAGAGGGUGAUCGGCCACACUGGAACUGAGACACGGUCCAGACUCCUACGGGAGGCAGCAGUAGGGAAUCUUACGCAAUGGGCGAAAGGCUGACGGAGCAACGCCGCGUGAGUGAUGAAGGUCUUCGGAUCGUAAAACUCUGUUAUUAGGGAAGAACAAAUGUGUAAGUAACUAUGCACGUCUUGACGGUACCUAAUCAGAAAGCCACGGCUAACUACGUG